This 347-nucleotide ribosomal RNA is filed under the name uncultured Pseudomonas sp. RNAcentral describes it as "bacterial SSU rRNA". It matches the Rfam family "Bacterial small subunit ribosomal RNA", at positions 1034 to 1382 of the family's 1533-position model. The record is from RNAcentral. Lineage: Bacteria; Pseudomonadati; Pseudomonadota; Gammaproteobacteria; Pseudomonadales; Pseudomonadaceae.
ACAGGUGCUGCAUGGCUGUCGUCAGCUCGUGCGUGAGAUGUUGGGUUAAGUCCGUAACGAGCGCAACCCUUGUCCUUAGUUACCAGCACGUCAUGGUGGGCACUCUAAGGAGACUGCCGGUGACAAACCGGAGGAAGGUGGGGAUGACGUCAAGUCAUCAUGGCCCUUACGGCCUGGGCUACACACGUGCUACAAUGGUCGGUACAAAGGGUUGCCAAGCCGCGAGGUGGGGCUAAUCCCAUAAAACCGAUCGUAGUCCGGAUCGCAGUCUGCAACUCGACUGCGUGAAGUCGGAAUCGCUAGUAAUCGUGAAUCAGAAUGUCACGGUGAAUACGUUCCCGGGCCUU